This 72-nucleotide transfer RNA is filed under the name Albula glossodonta (roundjaw bonefish). It matches the Rfam family "tRNA". From Rfam's summary of the family: Transfer RNA (tRNA) molecules are approximately 80 nucleotides in length. Their secondary structure includes four short double-helical elements and three loops (D, anti-codon, and T loops). Lineage: Eukaryota; Metazoa; Chordata; Actinopteri; Albuliformes; Albulidae. The record is from Rfam by way of RNAcentral.
GGUCCCAUCGUGUAAUGGUUAGCACUAUGGACUCAGAAUCCAGCGAUCUAAGUUCAAAUCUUGGUGGGACCU